UAGGGAAUCUUCGGCAAUGGGGGGAACCCUGACCGAGCAACGCCGCGUGAGUGAAGAAGGUUUUCGGAUCGUAAAGCUCUGUUGUUAAGGAAGAACGAGUGUGAGAAUGGAAAGUUCAUGCUGUGACGGUACUUAACCAGAAAGGGACGGCUAACUACGUGCCAGCAGCCGCGGUAAUACGUAGGUCCCGAGCGUUGUCCGGAUUUAUUGGGCGUAAAGCGAGCGCAGGCGGUUAGAAAAGUCUGAAGUGAAAGGCAGUGGCUCAACCAUUGUAGGCUUUGGAAACUGUUGAACUUGAGGGCAGAAGGGGAGAGUGGAAUUCCAUGUGUAGCGGUGAAAUGCGUAGAUAUAUGGAGGAACACCGGUGGCGAAAGCGGCUCUCUGGUCUGUAACUGACGCUGAGGUUCGAAAGCGUGGGAGCGAACAGG
Molecule: ribosomal RNA, 428 nt
Filed under: Bacteroidota bacterium
Lineage: Bacteria; Pseudomonadati; Bacteroidota
Description: Bacteroidetes bacterium partial 16S ribosomal RNA
Rfam family: Bacterial small subunit ribosomal RNA
Source: RNAcentral